UAGAAAAAUACGGGCGAUAAA
RNAcentral lists this microRNA (21 nucleotides) under Prunus persica (peach). RNAcentral's name for it is "ppe-miR6259". The record is from miRBase by way of RNAcentral. Lineage: Eukaryota; Viridiplantae; Streptophyta; Magnoliopsida; Rosales; Rosaceae.